RNAcentral lists this ribosomal RNA (253 nucleotides) under uncultured bacterium. RNAcentral's name for it is "partial 16S ribosomal RNA". It matches the Rfam family "Bacterial small subunit ribosomal RNA", at positions 524 to 776 of the family's 1533-position model. The record is from RNAcentral.
UACGAAGGGGGCUAGCGUUGCUCGGAAUCAUUGGGCGUAAAGCGUGUGUAGGCGGCCUUGUAAGUCCGUUCUGAAAGCCCGGGGCUCAACCCCGGGAGGCGGAUGGAUACUGCAAGGCUCGAGUACGGAAGAGGCGAGUGGAAUUCCCGGUGUAGCGGUGAAAUGCGCAGAUAUCGGGAGGAACACCAAUGGCGAAGGCAGCUCGCUGGGACGUUACUGACGCUGAGACGCGAAAGCGUGGGGAGCAAACAGG